GACGAACGCUGGCGGCGUGCUUAACACAUGCAAGUCGAGCGGAAAGGCCCUUCGGGGUACUCGAGCGGCGAACGGGUGAGUAACACGUGGGCAACCUGCCCCCAACUCUGGGAUAAGCCUAGGGAAACUGGGUCUAAUACCGGAUAUGACCACUCAGGGCAUCCUGUGGUGGUGGUAAAGUUUUUCGGUUGGGGAUGGGCCCGCGGCCUAUCAGCUUGUUGGUGGGGUAGUGGCCCACCAAGGCGACGACGGGUAGCCGGCCUGAGAGGGCGACCGGCCACACUGGGACUGAGACACGGCCCAGACUCCUACGGGAGGCAGCAGUGGGGAAUAUUGCGCAAUGGGCGAAAGCCUGACGCAGCGACGCCGCGU
This 372-nucleotide ribosomal RNA is filed under the name uncultured bacterium. Its description in RNAcentral is "bacterial SSU rRNA". It matches the Rfam family "Bacterial small subunit ribosomal RNA", at positions 28 to 402 of the family's 1533-position model. The record is from RNAcentral.